CAGCAGCCGCGGGAAAACGUAGGGUGCAAGAGUUAAUCGGAAUUACUGGGCGUAAAGCGUGCGCAGGCGGUUAUAUAAGACAGAUGUGAAAUCCCCGGGCUCAACCUGGGAACUGCAUUUGUGACUGUAUAGCUAGAGUACGGCAGAGGGGGAUGGAAUUCCGCGUGUAGCAGUGAAAUGCGUAGAUAUGCGGAGGAACACCGAUGGCGAAGGCAAUCCCCUGGGCCUGUACUGACGCUCAUGCACGAAAGCGUGGGGAGCAAACAGGAUUAGAUACCCCAGUAGUCCCUGUCUCUUAUAC
RNAcentral lists this ribosomal RNA (301 nucleotides) under uncultured bacterium. RNAcentral's name for it is "partial 16S ribosomal RNA". It matches the Rfam family "Bacterial small subunit ribosomal RNA", at positions 509 to 807 of the family's 1533-position model. The record is from RNAcentral.